UACGUAGGGUCCGAGCGUUGUCCGGAAUUACUGGUCGUAAAGAGCUCGUAGGUGGUUUGUCGCGUUGUUCGUGAAAACUCACAGCUUAACUGUGGGCGUGCGGGCGAUACGGGCAGACUGGAGUACUGCAGGGGAGACUGGAAUUCCUGGUGUAGCGGUGGAAUGCGCAGAUAUCAGGAGGAACACCGGUGGCGAAGGCGGGUCUCUGGGCAGUAACUGACGCUGAGGAGCGAAAGCGUGGGGAGCGAACAGG
RNAcentral lists this ribosomal RNA (253 nucleotides) under uncultured bacterium. RNAcentral describes it as "partial 16S ribosomal RNA". It matches the Rfam family "Bacterial small subunit ribosomal RNA", at positions 524 to 776 of the family's 1533-position model. The record is from RNAcentral.